Molecule: non-coding RNA, 55 nt
Filed under: Escherichia coli
Lineage: Bacteria; Pseudomonadati; Pseudomonadota; Gammaproteobacteria; Enterobacterales; Enterobacteriaceae
Also listed under: 1 other name
Source: RNAcentral
GUUCAGCAUAUAGGGGGCCUCGGGUUGAUAGUAAAAUAUCACUCGGGGCUUUUCU